This 462-nucleotide ribosomal RNA is filed under the name uncultured archaeon. RNAcentral describes it as "bacterial SSU rRNA". It matches the Rfam family "Archaeal small subunit ribosomal RNA", at positions 399 to 859 of the family's 1478-position model. The record is from RNAcentral.
AAAUCUGGCUGUCGAGAUGCCUAAAAAGCAUUUCAUAGCAAGGGCCGGGCAAGACCGGUGCCAGCCGCCGCGGUAACACCGGCGGCUCGAGUGGUAACCGUUAUUAUUGGGUCUAAAGGGUCUGUAGCCGGCCGGAUAAGUCUCUUGAGAAAUCUGGCAGCUUAACUGUCAGGCUUUCAGGAGAUACUGUCUGGCUCGAGGCCGGGAGAGGUGAGAGGUACUUCAGGGGUAGGGGUGAAAUCUUGUAAUCCUUGAAGGACCACCAGUGGCGAAGGCGUCUCACCAGAACGGACCUGACGGCAAGGGACGAAAGCUAGGGGCACGAACCGGAUUAGAUACCCGGGUAGUCCUAGCCGUAAACGAUACUCGCUAGGUGUCGGCCACGGUGCGACCGUUGUCGGUGCCGUAGGGAAGCCGUGAAGCGAGCCACCUGGGAAGUACGGCCGCAAGGCUGAAACUUAA